UUAAUACUCCCUCCGUCCAACAAAAGAUGCAUCAAGUUUGUCAAAAUUUGGAUGUAUCUAGACAUGACUUAGUGUAUAGAUGCAUUCAAAUUUAGUCAAAGUUGAGACAUCCUUUGUUGGAUGGAGGAAGCAGUAA
Molecule: non-coding RNA, 136 nt
Organism: Brachypodium distachyon (stiff brome)
Lineage: Eukaryota; Viridiplantae; Streptophyta; Magnoliopsida; Poales; Poaceae
Source: Rfam